AUGUUUAAUAGUCAUAUUCAUUUUGACGUUUAGCUGCAGAAGAAGCACCGGCUAACUCCGUGCCAGCAGCCGCGGUAAUACGGAGGGUGCGAGCGUUAAUCGGAAUUACUGGGCGUUAAAGCGCAUGCAGGUGGUUUGUUAAGUCAGAUGUGAAAGCCCGGGGCUCAACCUCGGAAUUGCAUUUGAAACUGGCAAACUAGAGUACUGUAGAGGGGGUAGAAGUUUCAGGUGUAGCGGUGAAAUGCGUAGAGAUCUGAAGGAAUACCGGUGGCGAAGGCGGCCCCCUGGACAGAUACUGACACUCAGAUGCGAAAGCGUGGGGAGCAAACAGGAUUAGAUACCCUGGUAG
This 349-nucleotide ribosomal RNA is filed under the name uncultured bacterium. RNAcentral's name for it is "bacterial SSU rRNA". It matches the Rfam family "Bacterial small subunit ribosomal RNA", at positions 453 to 793 of the family's 1533-position model. The record is from RNAcentral.